UACCAGCACCCCGAGUGGUCGGGACGAUUAUUGGGCCUAAAGCAUCCGUAGCCGGUUCUACAAGUCUUCCGUUAAAUCCACCUGCUUAACAGAUGGGCUGCGGAGGAUACUAUAGAGCUAGGAGGCGGGAGAGGCAAGCGGUACUUAGUGGGUAGGGGUAAAAUCCGUUGAUCCAUUGAAGACCACCAGUGGCGAAGGCGGCUUGCCAGAAUGCGCUCGACGGUGAGGGAUAAAAGCUGGGGGAGCAAACCGG
Molecule: ribosomal RNA, 253 nt
Filed under: uncultured bacterium
Lineage: Bacteria
Description: partial 16S ribosomal RNA
Rfam family: Archaeal small subunit ribosomal RNA
Source: RNAcentral